AGCACUAAGUCACUUUGUCUUUAUGGCAAAUGUGAGAUGCAGUGUAUGGAAUGUCAAAUUUCUAGUAUGAGAAAUUAACGAUUUAAGUCCUUCUUAAAUGAGGCCAUUUACCCAAAGAGGGUGCCAGGCCCGUAUAACGUUAAUGAUUACUAGAUGACAUUUCCAAAGAGUCGUGUUGCUUGAUAGUGCAGCACUAAGUGGGUGGUAAACUCCAUCUAAAACUAAAUAUAACCAUGAGACCGAUAGUAAACAAGUACCGUGAGGGAAAGUUGAAAAGAACUCUGAAUAGAGAGUUAAAUAGUACGUGAAACUGCUUAGAGGUUAAGCCCGAUGAACCUGAAUAUCCAUUAUGGAAAAUUCAUCAUUAAGAUUUUAAUAUUAAUAAUAUUGAAAUAAUGGUGUGCAUUUUUUCCAUAUAAGGACAUUGUAAUCUAUUAACAUAAAAUGAAUAUUUAUCAAAAGAUCAUUAGCUAAAGUUUAUUCAAAUUAUUUUGCUUGCAUUUUAACAUAGAAUAAAUGCUUUUGAUUUGAUAAAGUGUUGAUAGAUUUAUUAUAUAUACUGCUUGAAUAUUUUAUAUUCUAUAAUGGCAUAUUGAUCAAUGAUCUUUGUGUUUAUAAUUAUAUGCAGUUAUAUGAUUAACAAUGCGAAAGAUUCAGGAUACCUUCGGGACCCGUCUUGAAACACGGACCAAGGAGUCUAACAUAUUUGCAAGUUAUUGGGAAUUAAAAACCUAAUAGCGAAAUUAACAUAACUUAUAUAAUGGGAUUAGUUUUUAGUACUAUUUAUAGUNUAUUAAUUCAAUCCCGGGGCGUUCUAUACAGUUAUGUAUAAUAAUAUUUAUAUUAUUUAUACCUCUAACUAGAGCGUACCUUGAGCAUAUAUGCUGUGACCCGAAAGAUGGUGAACUAUACUUGA
RNAcentral lists this ribosomal RNA (916 nucleotides) under Pegoplata infirma. RNAcentral describes it as "eukaryotic LSU rRNA". It matches the Rfam family "Eukaryotic large subunit ribosomal RNA", at positions 111 to 840 of the family's 3401-position model. Lineage: Eukaryota; Metazoa; Arthropoda; Insecta; Diptera; Anthomyiidae. The record is from RNAcentral.